AUACGGGGGAUGCGAGCGUUAUCCGGAUUUAUUGGGUUUAAAGGGCGCGUAGGCGGGACGCCAAGUCAGCGGUAAAAGGCUGCAGCUAAACUGUAGCACGCCGUUGAAACUGGCGACCUGGAGACGAGACGAGGGAGGCGGAACAAGUGAAGUAGCGGUGAAAUGCUUAGAUAUCACACAGAACACCAAUUGCGAAGGCAGCUUACUAAACUGUUACUGACGCUGAUGCACGAAAGCGUGGGGAGC
RNAcentral lists this ribosomal RNA (246 nucleotides) under uncultured bacterium. RNAcentral describes it as "partial 16S ribosomal RNA". It matches the Rfam family "Bacterial small subunit ribosomal RNA", at positions 523 to 769 of the family's 1533-position model. The record is from RNAcentral.